Molecule: non-coding RNA, 257 nt
Filed under: Clostridiales bacterium
Lineage: Bacteria; Bacillati; Bacillota; Clostridia; Eubacteriales
Description: T-box sequence
Rfam family: T-box leader
About the family: Uncharged tRNA acts as the effector for transcription antitermination of genes in the T-box leader family.
Source: RNAcentral
GUUAAGACGAUGAUCGGGAAUAGUAGGCCGGGGGUUGAAAUUUAGCGAGCCGGGGAGGGUGGAAGCCCGGCAUGGAGACCCCGGUUGAAUGGGCCCGGGAGUUGCGGACCGAAACCGGAAGGGAGUAGGCUCCGACGGGGGCUUCCGCCGUUAAAAGGAAGGGGAUAUCGGCCAUGGGGCCCGUAUCCUGUAAGAGAUACCCGGCGAUAAACCGCCGGGUAACCAGGGUGGUACCGCGAGAAACCCUCGCCCCUUGA